CCAGACUCCUACGGGAGGCAGCAGUGAGGAAUAUUGGUCAAUGGGCGGGAGCCUGAACCAGCCAAGUCGCGUGAGGGAAGACGGUCCUAUGGAUUGUAAACCUCUUUAGGCGGGGAGCAAUGCCGGGCACGCGUGCCCGGAGGGAGAGUACCCGCAGAAUAAGCAUCGGCUAACUCCGUGCCAGCAGCCGCGGUAAUACGGAGGAUGCGAGCGUUAUCCGGAUUUAUUGGGUUUAAAGGGUGCGCAGGCGGAGGUGCAAGUCAGCGGUCAAAUUGCGGGGCUCAACCCCGUACUGCCGUUGAAACUGCAUCCCUUGAGUGCGCGAGAAGUAUGCGGAAUGCGUGGUGUAGCGGUGAAAUGCAUAGAUAUCACGCAGAACUCCGAUUGCGAAGGCAGCAUACCGGCGCGCAACUGACGCUCAUGCACGAAAGCGUGGGUAUCGAACAGGAUUAGAUACCCUCGUA
Molecule: ribosomal RNA, 464 nt
Filed under: uncultured bacterium
Lineage: Bacteria
Description: bacterial SSU rRNA
Rfam family: Bacterial small subunit ribosomal RNA
Source: RNAcentral